UGCGGAAGGAUCAUUGUCGAAACCUGCCCAGCAGAACGACCCGUGAACAUGUUUACCGAUCAUGGGAGUCGGGUAAUGAUGGUGCCUUGUGUGCUGUCUUGCCCCUCGCCCAAGCUGGGGAGCUCACACCCGUGGGUUGCUCCCAGCAAAACAAACGAACCCCGGCGCGAAAAGCGUCAAGGAAUACCAAUUCAAAGUGCCUGCCCCUGUCCGGUCAUUCGGCAUGGGGGUCGGUGCCAUGUCCUAAUAUUAAACGACUCUCGGCAACGGAUAUCUCGGCUCUCGCAUCGAUGAAGAACGUAGCGAAAUGCGAUACUUGGUGUGAAUUGCAGAAUCCCGUGAACCAUCGAGUCUUUGAACGCAAGUUGCGCCCGAAGCUUCUGGUUGAGGGCACGUCUGCCUGGGCGUCACGCAUCGCGUCUCCCCCAAAGGAGGGGAAGGAUGAUGGCUUCCCGUGCCUCACCGGGUGCGGUUGGCCUAAAAUAGGGGCACACGGUAUGUAAUUGCCGCGACGAUAGGUGGUGAUCAGGGCCUCGGCCGUGUAAACAACCCGUUGCGGCGUUCGGCUCGUUGGACCCUUACGCUCCAAACCUUUGCGACCCCA
RNAcentral lists this ribosomal RNA (604 nucleotides) under Heterochroa violacea. Its description in RNAcentral is "eukaryotic LSU rRNA". The stretch from base 256 to 410 matches the Rfam family "5.8S ribosomal RNA". Lineage: Eukaryota; Viridiplantae; Streptophyta; Magnoliopsida; Caryophyllales; Caryophyllaceae. The record is from RNAcentral.